GAAAGACCGAAGCUAAACUUCGGUAAGCCAUGGAAACCGGGCGGCUAGAGUGCGGAAGAGGAUCGUGGAAUUCCAUGUGUAGCGGUGAAAUGCGUAGAUAUAUGGAGGAACACCAGUGGCGAAGGCGACGGUCUGGGCCGCAACUGACGCUCAUUCCCGAAAGCGUGGGGAGCAAAUAGGAUUAGAUACCCUAGUAGUCCACGCCGUAAACGAUGGCUACUAAGUGUCGGGGGUCAAACCCCGGUGCU
Molecule: ribosomal RNA, 248 nt
Filed under: uncultured bacterium
Lineage: Bacteria
Description: partial 16S ribosomal RNA
Rfam family: Bacterial small subunit ribosomal RNA
Source: RNAcentral